RNAcentral lists this ribosomal RNA (206 nucleotides) under uncultured bacterium. RNAcentral describes it as "partial 16S ribosomal RNA". It matches the Rfam family "Bacterial small subunit ribosomal RNA", at positions 568 to 774 of the family's 1533-position model. The record is from RNAcentral.
CGCGUAGGCGGGAUGGCAAGUCGGUCGUGAAAUCCCUCGGCUCAACCGAGGAGCGUCGGCCGAUACUGCCGUUCUUGAGGGAUGCAGAGGAGACUGGAAUUCCCGGUGUAGCGGUGAAAUGUGUAGAGAUCGGGAGGAACACCGGUGGCGAAGGCGGGUCUCUGGGCAUCUCCUGACGCUGAGGCGCGAAAGCGUGGGAGCAAACG